GACGAACGCUGGCGGCGUGCUUAACACAUGCAAGUCGAACGGAAAGGCCCUGCUUGCAGGGUACUCGAGUGGCGAACGGGUGAGUAACACGUGGGUGAUCUGCCCUGCACUUCGGGAUAAGCCUGGGAAACUGGGUCUAAUACCGGAUAGGAGCCAUUUUUAGUGUGAUGGUUGGAAAGUUUUGUCGGUGUAGGAUGAGCUCGCGGCCUAUCAGCUUGUUGGUGGGGUAAUGGCCUACCAAGGCGGCGACGGGUAGCCGGCCUGAGAGGGUGGACGGCCACAUUGGGACUGAGAUACGGCACAGACUCCUACGGGAGGCAGCAGUGGGGAAUAUUGCACAAUGGGCGCAAGCCUGAUGCAGCGACGCCGCGUGGGGGAUGACGGUCUUCGGGUUGUAAACUCCUUUCGCUAGUGACGAAGCUUUUUGUGACGGUACCUAGAUAAGAAGCACCGGCUAACUACGUG
RNAcentral lists this ribosomal RNA (465 nucleotides) under uncultured bacterium. Its description in RNAcentral is "partial 16S ribosomal RNA". It matches the Rfam family "Bacterial small subunit ribosomal RNA", at positions 28 to 507 of the family's 1533-position model. The record is from RNAcentral.